GAUGCUCAGGGUGAACGCUGGCGGCGUGCCUAACACAUGCAAGUCGAGCGGUGCGGCUGGAAGCUUUGGUGGAAGGCUGCAUAGCGGCGGACGGGUGCGUAACACGUAGGAACGUGCCCCCUGGAGGCGGAUAGCCGUGGGAAACUGCGGGUAAACCGCCGUAGACUCGGGAGAGUAAAGGCCGAAAGGCGCCAGGGGAGCGGCCUGCGGCCCAUCAGGUAGUUGGUAGGGUAACGGCCUACCAAGCCGACGACGGGUAGCCGGUCUGAGAGGAUGGCCGGCCACAAGGGCACUGAGACACGGGCCCUACUCCUACGGGAGGCAGCAGUGGGGGAUUUUGGACAAUGGGCGAAAGCCUGAUCCAGCGACGCCGCGUGGAGGACGAAGCCCUUCGGGGUGUAAACUCCUUUUCUCAGGGAAAAAAGCUGAUGGUACCUGAGGAAUAAGCCCCGGCUAACUACGUGCCAGCAGCCGCGGUAAUACGUAGGGGGCGAGCGUUACCCGGAAUUACUGGGCGUAAAGGGUGCGUAGGCGGYCGUGUGUGUCUGGCGUUAAAAUCCACGGCUCAACUGUGGGUAUGCGCUGGAAACUGCACGGCUUGGGUGCAGCAGAGGCAGACGGAACUGCUGGUGUAGGGGUGAAAUCCGUAGAUAUCAGCAGGAACGCCGGUGGAGAAGUCGGUCUGCUGGGCUGUAACCGACGCUGAGGCACGAAAGCUAGGGGAGCAAACCGGAUUAGAUACCCGGGUAGUCCUAGCCGUAAACGAUGCUCACUUGGUGUGGGGGCGAAGGUCUCCGUGCUGAAGCUAACGCGUUAAGUGAGCCGCCUGGGGAGUAUGCCCGCAAGGGUGAAACUCAAAGAAAUUGACGGA
Molecule: ribosomal RNA, 871 nt
Filed under: Fervidobacterium sp. OH-65
Lineage: Bacteria; Thermotogati; Thermotogota; Thermotogae; Thermotogales; Fervidobacteriaceae
Description: bacterial SSU rRNA
Rfam family: Bacterial small subunit ribosomal RNA
Source: RNAcentral